AUGAGGAGAGAAUCCUAAGGCCGACGGGAGAAGCAUUGUUAAGGAACUCGGCAAAAUGACUCCGUAACUUCGGGAGAAGGAGUGCCAGUAAGAUGGCCGCAGAGAAUUGGCCCAAGCAACUGUUUAGCAAAAACACAGGUCUAUGCAAAACCGAAAGGUGAGGUAUAUGGGCUGACGCCUGCCCGGUGCUGGAAGGUUAAGGGGAGAGGUUAGCGCAAGCGAAGCUUUGAACUUAAGCCCCAGUAAACGGCGGCCGUAACUAUAACGGUCCUAAGGUAGCGAAAUUCCUUGUCGGGUAAGUUCCGACCCGCACGAAAGGCGUAAUGAUUUGGGCACUGUCUCAACAAUGCACCCGGUGAAAUUGAAAUACCAGUGAAGAUGCUGGUUACCUGCGCCAGGACGGAAAGACCCCAUGGAGCUUUACUCCAGCUUGAUACUGGGAUUCGGUAUUGCAUGUACAGGAUAGGUGGGAGGCUAGGAAAUGGUAACGCCAGUUGCCAUGGAGCCAAUGUUGGGAUACCACCCUUGCAGUACUGGGUUUCUAACCAGCAGCCGUGAUCCGGCUGGGGGACAAUGUCAGGUGGGGAGUUUGACUGGGGCGGUCGCCUCCGAAAGGGUAUCGGAGGCGCUCAAAGGUUCCCUCAGAAUGGUUGGAAACCAUUCGAAGAGUGCAAAGGCAGAAGGGAGCUUGACUGCGACACCGACGGGUGGAGCAGGUACGAAAGUAGGACUUAGUGAUCCGGUGGUAUAAAGUGGGAUUGCCAUCGCUCAACGGAUAAAAGCUACCCUGGGAUAACAGGCUUAUCACUCCCAAGAGUUCACAUCGACGGAGUGGUUUGGCACCUCGAUGUCGGCUCAUCGCAUCCUGGGGCUGAAGUAGGUCCCAAGGGUUGGGCUGUUCGCCCAUUAAAGCGGUACGCGAGCUGGGUUCAGAACGUCGUGAGACAGUUCGGUCCCUAUCCGGCGUGGGCGUAAGAUAUUUGAGAGGAGCUGUCCUUAGUACGAGAGGACCGGGAUGGACUGGCCGCUGGUGUAUCUGUUGUCUUACCAAAGGCAUAGCAGAGUAGCCAAGCCGGGAAGGGAUAAACGCUGAAGGCAUCUAAGCGUGAAGCCCCCCUCAAGAUGAGAUAUCUCAUAACGUCAAGUUAGUAAGACCCCUUGAAGACGACGAGGUAGAUAGGGCAGAGGUGGAAGUGUGGUAACACAUGGAGCUGACUGUUACUAAUAGGUCGAGGGCAUAACCU
This 1244-nucleotide ribosomal RNA is filed under the name metagenome. RNAcentral's name for it is "bacterial LSU rRNA". It matches the Rfam family "Bacterial large subunit ribosomal RNA", at positions 1667 to 2925 of the family's 2925-position model. The record is from RNAcentral.